RNAcentral lists this long non-coding RNA (13555 nucleotides) under Capsicum annuum. RNAcentral's name for it is "long non-coding RNA (CANN_LNC007538)". The record is from RNAcentral. Lineage: Eukaryota; Viridiplantae; Streptophyta; Magnoliopsida; Solanales; Solanaceae.
UUAACAUUUGAAUCCAAGGUAAAAGGUUUACAUACUAUGUAAAUUUCAGAGUAUUAAAUUACUAUGUAAAUUUCAGAGUAUUAAAUUAUAUCCUAUCAAACUGAUAUGCCAUAGUUCGAUCAGGUGUUGCCAAAAUUAUUCAGCUAUUAGUCGGUCUAGAUUCUAGACAUUGUAUUUGUUAUGGCCCCUAGUUUUGGAUCGAGUCACUGGACAACUAACUUGGAAGUCAGACCUAACGUUAUGGUCUAAGCCCUUAUUUUUGUCUCGUGACUUACCUACGAUUGUUUUUGUUUCGUGACUUACCUACGAUUGCUAAAUUUUGUUGUUCAUUCAGGGAACUGCAGACCUGGGAACUUGUUUGAGAAAGUUCCGACUCUAUAAAAUCCAACUUGUUUUAUUAAUAACGUCAACUCUCUUAAAUAGAGGUUUACAGUAGCAAAGAGUCCUAACAAGCUAGAAAUAGAAAAGGCCCUAUAAAACUGAAUUACCAAGAGUUCUAAUCCACUAAGGGAAGUUCUAUUCUACUAACAAAAUAAUUCAGAAAAUAAACUCAUUAUCAGUCCUAUUAAUUCUUGCGUCUGGAAUAUUGUUUCCCGACAAAAGCAUCAAUAACAUUAUCCCCUUCCAGGAGAAAAAGCUUGUCCUCAAGCUUGAAGUCUGGAAAGGAAGAUUUGAAGUGAUGCACUGUCUCCCAAGUGGAUUCCUCAACAGAUUGGCCGCACCAUUGCACUAGAAUUUCCCAAUUAUCACGAUUCAGACGCAAUCUGAGCACGGAACAAGGGGUGGGAACAACACGUCCUUUUUCAACUGGUGGAAGGGUAGGUGGAGUUGUAGGUACCUCACCCUUGAAUGGCUUAAGAAUUUUUUUAUUUUUUUUUAAUUUUAAUUUGGAUUUUUAUUAAUGAGGCAACAAAAAGAUCUUUACAUCAUAGACCAACCCGUCCCCAAAAUUGUAACAAAGCUUUGGGUCUACCAACCAGUACAUCUUUAUAUUAAUCCUGACCCAAUCAUUAUAUUUGCUACUAUAAAAUUGUCCCUUGGGUUUCCUAAAUGGAUUUUGCUGUCUCCUCCGUCUUUUGAGCUCCUUUCCAGGUGAUCCAUGGAGAUGGUACCUUCAAUCUUCAUAUCUCGAUACUACUGCUCUGGUUCUUUAACUCUUUGCCUGAGAUAUCGAUUGUUGCUGCUAUCAGUAGCUCUCAAAAGUAGAAGUUUCAGCAACAAACGUAUGUACGUAUGCACGGACUGCCGCCCCUUUAUCCUUUUUUCAGUGACAAACGUAUGUACGGACUCUGUGUUUUAUCACUGUUAAGGAUUUUUCUGCCUGUAACCUGCAACUGUUUGAAUGUUGUCAUGCUAAAACCCCCAUUAUCAAUUGCAUUAUUUGCUAGAUGAUCUGCCAGUUCAUUUCCCACCCUUAAUAUGUGCUGAAACUUCACUUGCUUGCCAUGUAGUAAUUCUGUGAUUUGUUCUAUAUAGUCCAUCACAUUCCAUGGACAUUCCCACUACAACAACAACAACAACAACAAACCCAGUGUAUUCCCACCUGGUGGGGUCUGGGGGGUAGGAUGUACGCAGUCCAUACCUCUACCUCUGAAGAAGUAGAAAGGCCCACUCUUUGGUAAAAAUCUUCAACAUAAUAAGAGAAUCUGUUUGAAAGAUUAUCUUAUCAAGAUUGUUCAAAUUACAAUGGAUUUGCGGCUUGAAGUAUAGCAUAUGCUUCAGCCUCCAUGUUAGUAGUAUCCGUAACCUGUGCACCCUUUGCAUACCUUAAAUCCCCAUUUUCAUCUCUCAAGCAGAAAGCAUAAGAACUGAUCCCUGGGUUAUCUCUAGAGGCCCCAUCUGUAUUGUAUUUCAACCAACCUUCUUCCGGAAAUUGCCACACCACCUUUGUAAGAUAGAAUGUAGAUCUCUUUAACUGUAAUUGCUGAAGAGUAUCUGGCCACAUAGAAGGGAAAACUUGUCUAGGAUUCCUCACUUUAAGUAAUAAACCAAUGCUUUUGUUAAUAUUGAAUAUUACUUUAUGAGUUGACAUAGAUUUCCCUUCAUGUUUUGAAUUGUUUCUUCUUCUCCAUAAUUCCCAUAUGAUAAUGCUAGGAAUGGACUUAAAGUAUGCCUUAUCUGCUCCCUGUUUUCCUGCAUUCCACCAGUAAUGAAUAAUUUCCCUUAGAGUGGCUCCUUGUAAAAUGAUACCUGCACAGGAAGAAAAAUAGGCCCAGGUCCGGUUAGCUGUGCCUGAUUUCAGGAACACAUGUGAAAUGGUUUCUUGAUCAGGCUGUGUACAACACCAACAUUUAGUUGGUCCUGGUAACCCCCAUCUCCGUAUAUUAUCAUCAACAGCCACUUUUCCUUUCCAAAAUCUCCACAUUAGAAAUGCCAUCUUGAAUGGUAAUCCUUUCACCCAAAUGUUUUUAUAAACUGCAUUUCUCUCCUCUUUGUCUGAUGAAAUCCCAGGCUGAUUUGACAGUAAACCUUCCAGUUGGAUCCAGCAUCCACAUUGGACAGUCUUUCCUUUCUCUAUCAUUUGAUAUUCUAAUGAAUUCCUUGAUAUGAUCUGCAACUUCUUGUGGAAAAAGCUGUGACAUUACCUGUGUGUUCCAUGCUCCAUUAUCAAUCAAAUCCUGCACCUGUUGAUACUGAGUGUCCCACUCCCUUGAAUUCUGCAAAAGGGUAUAAAAAUCUCCUUCCUUUGUCCAAUUAUCAAACCAAAUAUUUGAGUUUCCUUUCCUUAUUCUCCAAAAAAUUUGAUACUCCACCAAAUCCCUUGCCUGUAGCAAUUUUUUCCAUACCUGAGAUCCAGCACCAAUUUUCCACACUAUUUCAUUUGGGUGCUUAUUUUUGCAAUACUUAUUCUGCAUGUAUCUGCUCCAAAUCUAGUCUUUAGUUCUAAAGUUCCACCAUAACUUACAAAAUAAGGCCAUUGAAACAUCUUUUAAGUUCCUAAAUCCUAGUCCUCCUUCUUCCUCAGGCAGACAUUGCUUACUCCAUUUCACCCAAUGUCUACUUUUACCCCCGAUGUGCGUACUCCAAAAGAAUUGUGCAAACAUUCUUUGAAUAGAGUUUAUUACAUUAAGAGGUGGAUUCAUAACAGAAAGACAAUGAAUAGGUAUACUUUGUAGGACAUGUUUUAUCAGAAUAGCUCUUCCCGCAUAAGAAGUAAGUUUUCCUUUCCAUGCUUGUAGUUUUCCACUCAUUCUGCUCAUCAUAGUUUGAUAAUAAUCUUUCUUCUUUCUCAUGUAAAAAAUUGGGAAGCCUAAAUAAGUGAAAGGGAAUUCAUUUCUCAUAAUUCCAGUCACCACUUCAGCAACUAUCACAGCUCCAUGAGAUACACCUCUAUGAAAGUACAGGGAACUUUUCUCCUUAUUAACCUUCUGACCUGACACUUUUUCAUAUUUUCUAGUGUACCGGUCACUAAUUGCAUUGUUUGUAAAUCUGCUUUGCAUAAUAUUAUCAUGUCAUCAGCAAAGGCAAAGUGAUUUACCUUAGGACUUCCUAUAGGCAUUCCAAAGAGUUUAAAUUCUUUAGUAGCCAUCAGGGAUUUUAGAGCUCUUGACAACACUUCUGCUGCAAUAAUAAAAAGAGUAGGUGAUAGUGGAUCUCCUUGCUUCAAUCCCCUGGAUGAUUUGAAAAAACCUUUGGGUUGCCCAUUUAGGAGUAUAGAAUACCAAUUGUUUCCAACUAGUCUAAAUAUCAUAUCAAUCAUACAUUCUCCAAAUCCUACCUUCCUCAGUACUUUAGUGAGAAAAAGCCAGUCAACUCUGUCAUAUGCUUUCUUCAUAUCUAGUUUCAUGACCAGAUUAGGACUUCACUCCUUUUCCUUAUGUCUGUGAUUAUCUCCUGAACCAUCAGAAUAUUCUCAGCAAUACUUCUUCCGUGAACAAAUCCAGCUUGCUCCUCAGAAAUAACAGAAGGAAGUACCCUUUUAAUUCUCUCAUGUAUAAGCCUAGAAAAGAUUUUAUUCAGAAAAUUGCUUAAGGAGAUGGGUCUCAUAUCCGAAAAUGUAUUCACCACUAACUUCUUGGGUAUUAACACCAAGUUUGUAUGAGUCACAAACUUUGGUAAUUCAUAACCACAAAAGAAAGCUGUAACCAUUUUAUGAAUAUCUUGACCUAUAAUCUCCCAGGCAUCUUGGAAAAAAACUCCUGUCAUACCAUCAGGCCUCCUGCACUAUGCCUAUUUAAUCCCAUGACAGCCUCUUUAACUUCCUGAAUUCCUGGAAUCUUCCUCAUCUCUUCAUUCUGUUCAACAGUGACUACACUAGGUAAUUCAUUCAGCAAGUGAAGUCAGCAAUCUCUGCCUCUUUAGUAAACUGUCUUUGGAAAAAACUAACAGCUUCUUCAGCAAUGUCUGCCUGAUUUUCCAUCCAUUCUCCUUCAUCAUUCUGAAUUCUUGUAAUUUUCAAUCUGCUUCUUCUUCCUUUCACAACAGCAUGGAAAAAUUUAGUGUUUCUUUCCCCAUCUUUAAACCAUUCCAACCCUGACUUCUUCCUCCAGAAAUCUUCUUCUCUCUUCAACUGCAAGUUUAAUUCAGCCUGUCCUUUAAACAACAUCUGUCUAUUAUUGGGUGAUGGAUUCUCCUCAAACUGUUUUUCUCUCACUUUGAUAAUCUCCUCCAAUGUUGCAAUUUCCUGGAAAAUAUUACCAAAGUGUUCCUUACUCUAUUUUGUCAGUGCAUUUUUCACCCUCUUCAUCUUAUGGUGAAAUUCAAUGAAAGGAUUGCCCACUACAUCAGUUAUCCAGUUUUGUUUAAUAACUUCAUAACAUGAUUGCUCCUUCAGCCACAUAUUCAGAAACCUAAAUGGUUUGUGAAUAUUUUCCUUCACUGGACUGAAAUGUAUCUGCAAAGGAGAGUGAUCUGAUCCACUUCUAAACAAAUGUUCCACUUCAAGGACUUGAAAUAGUUCCUGCAAUCUAUCAUUACAAAGAAGUCUAUCCAAUCUUUCAAAAAUGCAUUCUGCAUCAGUCCUUCCAUUCCACCAGGUAUAUUUACUACCUUUGAAUCCUGGAUCCUCCAUUCCGCAUAAAUUAAUACAAUGUUUGAAAUCUUCUGUUUCAGCCACUGUAACUGGUAAACCUCCUAAUUUCUCCUCUUCACUGACAAUUACAUUGAAAUCUCCCCCUAUUAGCCAUGGGUGUUGUAUUGUCUGAGCCAUAUCUAUAAGGGAUUCCCAUAAACAUAGCCUCUCUUGUUGAUUGCAUUUAGCAUACACUAGUGUAACCACCACUAAGAUAUCUGUCUCUUGAUUGGUUAGUUGAAUGGUAAGCUGUUGCUCCUCAUCUCUUAGAACCACCAUAUGUAUAAAAUCUUCAGUGAAUGCCCAUAUUUUGCCUGCACAGUUUGCAACUGCAUCCUUCAUAUUCAGCCUUCUUCUGUAUUCAUCAAUUGUACUAUUUUCCUGGAAAGGCUCCAUUAAUCCUAUGAAUGUAAAGUGGUAUCUUUUUUGUAAAGUGACAAGUCUAGUGAAUGCUUUUUGUGUGUUCACUGAUCUGAUAUUCCAGAUUAGAGCUUUCAUUUUGACCUUUUUUUUUCUGAAUUCUUUGUCUGCAUUGAGGAAGUUUUAAAUCCCUUUUCUUUCAUCUUCUGUAUACCUUGACUUGAUUUCAUCUUUUCUAUCUGCCUUGGAGACAAAUUACCUUCCACUCCGAUCUGAUAUAUGGUUUUAUUCAUAUCCCCUUCAUCCAAGUCUGCAUUAUCCCUGUUACUGACCUCUUUCUGGUUAUCCACCUGGAUUGCUAAAGGUAAGAUGUUUUCCAUAACCUUUUCUUCUCCCUCUGUCUGCUGAUGCUGAACUAUUUCCCCUACAACUUCCGUUUCAUCUAGAUGCUUCUUAUCUGUCAUUUCCUCUCUCUGCAUUUGAUCCACUGGUACUGUUGCAACUAUUUGCUGCAUAUCUGCUCUAUUUUCCCCCUGCUCUAAUAUUUGAUUGUUUUCUUCCCUGUUGUUUGUUGUCUUCCCCAUUAUCUCCUUCUCAGCUGUCCCGAAGCUAUUAGUUACCCAAUCUUUUGUACUCUGAUUAGGCACUUCUUGUUGUUUUGCGUUCAAGUUUUCCUCGUUCUUGAUUGUCCUUGCUUGUUAGAGCUUCAAAUGUGUUAGAUACUGGAAUUUCUUUCUGCACUUCAGCUUCUACUUCCCCAAUUAUAUGGCCAUACUUAUCUUUUUUAUAUCUACUUCUCCUUGUAAGCCAUUGCUGUUUAUUUUCCUCUUGUUGCAUAUUAUCUCUCCAGUACUGUUCCUUCCCUCCUUCCAGUUGUUGUUUCACUAGUUUCCUCUGUUCCUCCAUUUUCCCUUCAUGAAGCUCUGGAUGUUUAUUCCAGCAUUGGUUAUCAUCAUGUCCCUGUAGUUUGCAUUCCUUACAAUACUUUGGCAUAUAAUCAUAUUGUACUUGGAUCCAUUUUGAUUUUAUAAUCCCUGUAGUAUUAUCCUCCUCAUUAAUCCUUAUUCUUUGGUGCAGGUCAGCUGUCAUAUCUAUUUCAACCUUCACACGAGCACAACUUGGCCUUGUUUGAUUCAUUGUUGCUAAAUCCACGGAGAAUGAUUUGCCUAUCGCUGAAGCUAUUGAAAAUAUUGCCUCUUUUGCAAAGAAAUUAGGUGGCAAAUCAGGGAAUGAAAUCCAAGCAAUUCCAAUUGUAGUCUCCACAUCCGCUUCAAACCAAGGAUCCCACUUAAGGGUGCGCAUCUGCCAGAACCUAUCCUUAGCUUUUAUGUAGUAUGCAUUUGUUGAUAACAGCUUUAUAUAAUCUUCCAAUAUCGCAAGUCUUAUGAGUACAUGUCGUGAGUCCAAAACUCCAAUAGUACAAUCUCCUUUAAUACGGCAUUGAUUUGGUAUCGCUUUUCGCAACUCUGUGACAUCAGGUUUUCCAUAGGAGAAUUUGCCAAUAAUUGCAUAUUGUAAAUUCUCAUGUAUUAUUAAACUUCUAACUUCUGCAGCCAUCCAUGUUAUACUCGGUUCCCCAUCUACAAAUAUCACUGGUUUUGGUUGGAUUUUACUCACUGUGUCAAAAUGAGUAUUAGGCUUCAAAACGUUUGCAUAUGAUUGUUUCUCUCUCAAGUCUGGAUUCAAACUACUUCCUUUCACUUCAUUACUUAAAUGGUUAACAAUUUCCGGUGGGUUCUCCCCACCGGAAGAGGUGGCCAUGGUAGACAACCAGAGAGAAACACGCCGAUUCCACGGCUUUUGCCGGAGCGACGCCGGAAAAUGUGCAUCUUGCCCAGAUCUGGCUGGCAAUGAUGUAGCAGCGAUAAGAUGAAAGAGAGAUGGUGUGGUGUUGGAGGUCCGUUGAUAGGUGGCGAAGAAAACGUUGAUAAAGGUGGGCGGAAUCCGGUGUUCGCCGGAUCUGAUUAAAAUACGUACUAAUUUUUCCGAAAGUUUAAUAAUGCAAUUUGAUUCCUUCUUUUAGGUAUGUUGAAUGGCUUAAGAAGUGACACAUGAAACACAUCAUGAAGUUUGCAACCUCUUGAUACUUAGGACAAUGUCAAAAGCAUCCAAGGGAAUCACAUAUAAAUCAACAUUGAAGGAAUGCUUAGCUACAGAAAAUUGCACUGCCGUGCAAAUGCCCAAACUGGAAAUUUUCUCUCCAUUUGCCACUGAUACAUAGAGAUUUCUUCGAUGUUGGAUAGGCAAAUCUAAACGUUGGGCAGCCAUAGAGCUAAUAAAAUUAUGUGUACUGCUUGAAUCAACUAAGCUGAGCAACAACUUCUUAUCAAUUACAACCCGCAACUGCAUAGUAUCGGCCUGUUGUUUGCCUUUGAUGGCAUGGAGUGAGAUGGCAGGCUCUCCACUAUUCGUUGGUACAUCUUCAGAUUCCAACUUCUUAUCAAUUGCAGUUUGCAACUGCAUAUUAUCUGCAAGUUGUUAGUUUGUGAUGGCAUGGAGUGAGAUCGAAGGCUCUCCACUAUCUAUUGAUACAUCUUAAAAUUCUGCAUCCUCUACUUCGAGCCAAAAUUACUUUUUGCACUGAUGGCCUUAAACAUAACGAUCAUCACAGUUGUAGCAAAACAUCUUUGCUCGCAGGGCAGCCAUCUCGGCAUGAGUCAACCUUUUCACAAAAGGAUUAGUAGUAGUUACCUUAUCCCCCGGAGUUACUGCUGCAGCGGCAAUCCUUGAGGUUGAAUUAUAGUCCCUCUGUGUGCUAGAAGAAAUUUGUAUUUUCUUCUCAAAUUCUCUCGCCAAACUCAUUGCUUGUACUAGGUUAGAUGGGUUAUGUAAUUCAACAUCGAGACGAAUCAAAUCAACUUCUUAUCCCCCGGAGUUACUGCUGCAGCGGCAAUCCUUGAGGUUGAAUUAUAGUCCCUGUGUGCUAGAAGAAAUUUGUAUUUUCUUCUCAAAUUCUCUCGCCAAACUCAUUGCUUGUACUAAGUUAGAUGGGUUAUGUAAUUCAACAUCGAGACGAAUCAAAUCAACUAAACCUGCUGUAAACAUAUUUGCUUGUUGGUCUACACGUACAGAUGGUGCACGAGCCAACAUCCUUUGCAAGUCCCUCUGAUAAUCUUCAACAGAACCAGUUUGUUCCAAGUUGAUCAAUUCCCCUAAAGGAUUGCUUUUCAUUGGUGGUCCAAAGCGAAGAGUACAAUAUUCUUUGAAGACACCCCAUGUUAAAUUUGAUUCCUCCAGUUCUAGCUGAUAAACCCACAAUUGCGCCUCCCCUACCAUGUGAAAAGCAGCUAUGCCUACCUUUUCUUGGUUGGUGGUAUGCUGGUUAGCAAAAAAUUUCUCACAACGAUGAAGCCAAAUAAGAAGAUCUUCACAUAUAUCAUAAGUAGAAAAUUCCAAUUUAGUUUAUCUGGGAACUAUAUCUCUUCCUGCAUUGUUGUCAUCGGUCCCAAGGUUGCUGUUGUUGUUUCUUCCUCCUAGACGCACAUCCAAUUGUUCUCUUGUGUUACCGGUUCGUUGGACAGAAGCAGCACUAUUUUCUCCAACUUCAACUACCUUUGCACGUGCCGUGGUGCGGAUUAAGGUUUCAAUUUGUUGAGAUAGUUGCUGGAAUUUGGCGUCCACCUUGCUUCCAAAGCUACUACUUUUGCUUUGGUCUGAGUUUGGGCUUCCAGUAAUAGGCUUUCCAGCCUUGCUUCUACAGUACUCUCGUCCAUGGUAACCGGCUCUGGUACCAAAUUGUUAUGGCCCCUAGUUUUGGAUCGAGUCACUGGACAACUAACUUGGAAGUCAGACCUAAUAUUAUGGUCUAAGCCCUUGUUUUUGUUUCGUAACUUACCUAUGAUUGCUGAAUUUUGCAGUUCAUUCAGGGAACUGCGGUCCUGGGAACUUGUUUGAGAAAGUUCCGACUCUCUGAUAAAAUCCAACUUGUUUAUUAAUAACGUCAACUGUCUUAAAUAGAGGUUUACAGUAGCAAAGAGUCCUAAUAAUCUAGAAAUAGAAAAAGCCCUAUAAAAAUGAAUUACCAAGAGUUCUAAUCCACUAAGGGAAGUUCUAUUCUACUAACAAAAUAAUUCAGAAAAUAAACUCACCAUCAGGCCUAUUAAUACUUGCAGAAUAUUGUUUACCGACAAAAGCAUCAAUAAAAGUAUUCUACUAGAAUCUUCUCUUUGAUACAAAAGCAUCAGAUUCUGUAAAUUUUAUUCCUUAACAUUGUUAUUUUCCACAAUAUAAACACUAAAAAGUUCUCUUCUUCCAUCAAUGUGGGAGAAUGAGUAAGAUUUCCAAAUUAGGAGUACACUUUCCAAUUUGGGUGUCUCCUUUUCCUCCACCAUUUCUUCUCCAUUUCUCAUUCACACUUCUAUGAACCCAACAAACUAAACCUUUGCAUUGAAAAGAAGAAUGGUAUGAGAUUGAAAAACUUACAUAGUCAUCACAUGUUUAAGUUGUAAAUCAUUGGGGUUGUCAAUUGCAUGUUGAAUGAGAAGGGUCUGGGUACGACGAUACCCAGUGAUAGGGUGCCCUUAAUAAAGCAAGUGUGAAAUGUUGUGAAGGUAUGAAAGCAUAGUUUUAAAGAAUUGAAAUUUGGGGCUUAGAAGGGGUUAGAUGGUCCUUCAUUAGACAGGCUCUCCAUUUCUUCAAUAUCCCUCAAAAUGUCCUCUCUAAUCCUGUCUUGCAUCUCCACUUCCACUAUCUCUAUUUUUAUUAAUGGGGAAAAAACUAGUUUCUUCCAACCCACCAAAGGUAUAAGGCAAGAAGAUCUCAUUUCCUUCUAUUUUUUUAUUAUGUGCAUGGAACUUAUCUCCAGGAGAAUUGAUUAUGAGAAUGAUAUAUUGAAUUCGCACCCUAUUUCUAUCAGCAAUAGAGGCCCUAAACUCUCACCUCUUUUUUGCUGAUGAUCUUACUCUAUUUUCCAAAGGCACUAGAGAAAAAUGUGUUACCAUCUCCAAGGUCCUCCAGUACUUUAGCUCUCACUCUAGGCAAAAGAUCAACCACUCAAAGUCUAAGGUCCUCUUCUAAAGGACCUGUCCUUCCCAUACUAAAGAUCAGCUCUCAACUAUCCUCUCUAUCAGAACCUCUGGUAGCUUUGGUAAAUAUUUGGGUUUUCCUAUCUUCCACAAGAAGCCUGCUAAUGGAGACUUCAAUUUCAUCCUUAAUAACUACAAUGCUAAACUGGUUGGCUGGAAGGUUAAUUUCCUAAGUAUGGUUGGGAGGGUCACAAUAGCCAAAUCCUCUCUUAAUAGCACCCCUACCCAUGUUAUGCGAUAUACUUCUCUCCCCAGCACCAUCCUCUACCAGAUUGACUAAAUUCAGAGGAAUUUUAUUUGGGGGAUAAUCUGAGAAAAAGAAACUUCACCUUUUAAGCUGGGAUCCCAUUUCCAAGGCUAAAGAUGUUGGGAGCCCUAGGUUUUAAAGAGAUAAAUCCAGGAAUGAUACCUUCAUUGCUAGCUUAGUUUGGAGAUAUUACCAUAGCCCUAACAGCCUAUGGACCUCCAUUCUCAUGGGUAAGUAUGAGAGACCUAAUCUCCUUCCCAAUAAGUCCUCCUCUAGAAUCUGGAAAUUCAUUAUUCAAGGUGGGGCCUUAUGUAAACUUGGGGCCGACUGAUUCUCAAAGAUGGUAACAAUGUUAACUUCUGGGAGGAUAGACGAUCCCUCAUCUAGAGCCCCUAAGAAACCUGAUUCAAGGAUCUUUAUCCCUCCCCGAGUCCAAACUAACCCUAGUUGAGGUCUGGAAUGAGGGUGCUUAGAAUUUUUCAAACCUCUCACUCUAACUACCUCCAGACCUGAUCCUUAGUGUCCAAAGCUCCUUUAGGAGGAAUCCCAGAAUUCAUGUUGAUCGUUUAAUUUGGGGACUCACCGGGAAUGGGUGCUUCACUACCAAAUCCAUGUAUAAUCUCAUUACCAGCAUUGGUAAAACCCUGGUUAGUCACAUUGGCUACUUCUUUAAGUGGAUCUGGCACAUCAAUGGACCUCCGAAGCUCAAAACAUUUCUUUGGCUUGCUCAACACAACAGGCUCCCUACUUCUAUCUUGCUAAAAUAGUUUUGGACAUUAACCCUAUAUCCAAGGCCUGUAAUAAUCAUAUUGAGGACAUAAUUCAUAUCUUUUUUGAUUGCCCCAUAACUAAAUAGUUCUGGAAACAUCUCCUUGAGGUGGGCACUAAGAUUGAUGGACUUAAUAUUGCCAGUUUUUACCCCCUAAAUUGGCACUCCAUUGGUAUUCCCUGAUGCACAAGAGUUUUGAUAAGAUGCUCAACUGGCAUAAUAUCCUCCCUUUCAGCCUUUGGGCUAUAUGGAAGAACAGAAAUCAUAACAUUUUUAACAAUUUGUGUGCUCAUCCUAACUGGAACCAGAGUCCUAACUAGAAACAAACUUAUAAUGAGACUUUAAGAGUAUAUCACUCUUGUCUCUCCAAAUAAGCAACCCCACCGUAAAGUGGACAUCAAUCUUAGGUGGAUCAGACCCAAGCCUGGAUCUUUUAUGCUUAAUACUGACGGGGCUUGUAGAGGAAACCCAGGGAAAGGGGGGGAGGGGUGGGGGGAGGUCAUUCAUGGUUCUAAUGGUAGUUGGGUUCUAGGUUUCGCUAAAGCCUGUCCUUGGGCUACCAACAAUCAGAUGGAGCUCAUAGCCCUCCACGAAGGACCUCGCCUAGUGGAGGAAAACAACCUUACGCCAAUUGAAAUUUGCAUUGACUCGACUGAAUUCUUAUCCUGAUUAGCUAAUGGCAAUUUAUUUUAUGACCCAACUAUCGAUGAAUGCAGGUCAAAACUAAGAAGACUAGGAAGGCCCAUGGUAUAAGCUAGGUUCUCAGCUGGAAUAACAAUUGACAAGCAACCUUUUUGAAGUCUCACCCAUGUGUGCACAGAAGUCAUUGUGAGCGGACAUGACUGGAACUUUUUUUGCAAGAUCAAUUAGUGAUUGUAAUUUAAACCCGAAUAUAGGGUCUGUCUUUUGUUUUGUAAUUAAUCCUGACUAACAUUUGUUGGGAACAUCCCAACGCCUUAUUUAUCUUAAUGCAAUCGUCUUGACCAAAAAAAAGAAAACAAGUAUUUUUAGGAGUAGCAUAAACUGUUUGCUUAAAAAAGUACUCCCUCCAUGCUAUUUUAUUUGGCACAAUGAAAGACUUUUGAAAUGUGGUCUAAACAUUCUAAUUACAGUAACGUGACAUUUUUUGGGACGGAACAAAAAAAAAUGGUACCACAUAAAAUGAGAGAAAAUAAGAGAGAGAGAGUAGUUUUUUUUUUUUUCGAGAACACUUAAUUAAAAAGCUACACUUAUAGCUUGUUAGAUCAAGCUUACUUCUGCCCACAGAGUGUUUAUUUUUCUUUAAAAUAUGCUUAAUUUUAAAAAGUGAGGUGUUAGCUUUUGAGAGAAAACAAGUGUUUCGGGUGACUGUAUCUUAGAAGCUAAAAGACAUAGUUUUUUUUCUAAAAGUACUUUUGAGGGAAAAAAAUACGGUAUCAAGUGUGUAGGUUUCCUACUUGAACUAUCAAUAUUUAUCGAAAUACACCUUAACUAUAUACUUUUCCUACCUAAGAAUCACCAUUGUUUAGGUUGAAAAAAUAACAACCCAAAGCUAAUUAAAAUAUGUUUCAAUAAACAUUUGGUAUAGUUUAAGUGUGUUUUGAGCUCGAGCAAUUUAUAUUUGCCAUAUGUGUCCUGUAAACAGCAAAUACAUGCAUAAAAAUAAAAGUAUAUGUGUAUGUAGAAAAAUAGUCAUAGAAAACAUUUAUAAACUAAUAAAUUUGCUUCAAAGUGCGUUUUUUAUCCUUUUUUUUUUAUUAUUAUUAUUAUUAUAAACUGAUAAAUUUCAUUAGAUAUUUUUGGCCAUUAAUAUUUUUCACUUAUUUUCAAAAAUUUAUUUCACUUUCUUUGAAAAAUAUUAUUUGAUCAUGAAAAUUUCAAAUACAAAAUAACCAAAACCUUGUUUUAAAAUUUUUCACUUUUAAAUUUUUUUUCCUCAUAAAAAUCCUAACUUUUUUUAUUUUCAUAAAAUAACGCUACUUAAAUUACAUUCCAUAUUCAAAUUUUUUUGGGUCAAAAGUACAUUUAAAUUCUUAAUAUUAACUGCAAAAAUUAUGUGUAAAAAUUUCAGCUCCAGCUUCAACUUUAAAAUUUCAAAUGAAGUGAUUUUCCGUUAGAAAAAGAAAUGGACGAGAUGCCACUUACAAUAUUGCUAAUUAAGCAUA